Molecule: long non-coding RNA, 2358 nt
Organism: Ailuropoda melanoleuca (giant panda)
Lineage: Eukaryota; Metazoa; Chordata; Mammalia; Carnivora; Ursidae
Exons: 4
Source: RefSeq, a predicted model, not a curated record
CGCGGCGCCGCCCCCGCCGGCCCCCGCCCCGCGCUCGCCCAUUGGCUCCGCCGGGCCCGGAGCCGCCUCCGGGGCCCCGGCGCCGCCGCCGACCCCCUCUGCGCUUUGUCUUUCCCUCGCUCUGCGUCCCCUGCCUUUGUCUGCCCCCCCGCCCCGACCCCGCGCUACGGGCACUAGCACCAUCUCCGCAGGCCCCGCGCUCGCCCGCCUCGGGAAGCCGGCAGCCCCGCUCCGGACCGAAAGGGACCGGAGCCGGAGGGUACCGCGCGCCUCAGGGCGAGGACGAGUUCAGGUUGUGACGCCUGGGGUCCCGGGACAAAUGGCGCUCCCGGCGACGCCCCUGCGGCGGGAAAGGAUCACUGGGGUGCCUCUGGGCCUUUCACUGCCUCAGUUUCCCCAGCUGGCCCUCGUUUUCGCCCGGAGCUCCGCGUGCCCCGAGGUUUGACAGACCUCGCGGGGGCGGCCCCGUCCGGGAUCCCACGCCCCCUCCGGCCGCGGAGUCCUCCCGCCGCCAGAGGCCGCUCCCGCUCGGCCGCCCCAGAAAGAUGGCAGCGGCGGCCGGCACGCGGUCACGCCACGAGGCUGCGAGGCCCGGCGUCCCUGUGUUCUGUCACCUUGGGCCGCCGGAUCACCGCGCGCCGGUCUGCACGACGGGUCCGAAAGGACCACUGCCCCUCAGUGCCUUCUCCUGCGGCCCCACAGACAAGGGCCCCGGGAGGCACCAAGGCCCGCCGCCCUAAAGCGUUUCUGUGGCCGGUUUUUGUGGCCUUAGUCACCCCCCCGCCCCCAGUUCCUGCAGCCGGGCACGGUUGCCUGCGAGAAAUCGAGGGCACUCCCUUCGGGGAAAGAGAUUUCCAUCCUUCAAACAAGCAAAACUCGGCGCACCCUAACACCCUUUAACACAAGGGAGAGAGGCCUGAAGAUCCGAAGUGCCUAGUUCCAAGUAACAAAGCUAGAGAGGCAGGGCUGGCGCCAUUAAACAGGCCCCCCGCCCCUGGCUCCUUACUUCCUGCCCCUCUGGCCCAGCGGCUGCCAUGGCUCCAGCACACCGCACUACAGGAGGCAGGUGACGGUCACCCACUGGUGGGGGAGAGCCUCAGCUGUGCCGUGCACGUGGGGCAGCGGCUUCCUGGAGGGACCUCUGCUGGGAGACCCGGGUCUCCUUAGCUCCAGGGACUGCUAGGCUCUGCCUGACGUCUGGCUGGAAGCUGUUCCACCAAACACAGCCCUAAACAUAGCUCGUUCCCACACUGUGGCAGGAAUAGAACCAGUGGCUCCAGAGCACGGCCCCCACGUGCAUCAGGGAACAGAACAACUCAGCGCCUCUGUGCCUGGCAGGGGAGGGCCAGAGGGAGGCUGCAGGCUUCCCCAGCCCCCAGCUGUUCCUUUGGCUCCCUCAGGGCUCGCAGUUGCGCUUGGCUUUUUCUCCCCAGCCUCCUGCCCCUCUCUAGAGGAAGACUUAUGUUUGGGUGGAGCUGCAGGCCCAGGUACGCCGUGGCUGGGGUGUGUGUGCGGCACUUCUAACAUUGUGUUUCUGUGCCUCUUUCCCGGCAGUGUGCACAGCGGUCACCAGAUUCUCAAAGGUAGCUGCAGUGGGGCAGGACUGUGUGGCCCUCACCGGCACCAGGAGCACCAGGAGCAGCCAGCGGCUCGCACUGUCUUGCCACCUGUGCCGGGAGGCCCCCUCCCCUGCCCAGGAUGGGUCUGCAGGGGCAACUGUGGGCAGCCACCUCAGAAGCAGCAGCUUGCAUGCCAAGGAGGAACGGACAACAAGUUCCUUCUCAGCCAACCAUUCAAACUGACUAUGGCCCAGGACAUCAGAAGCAUACAAGCCAAAAAGAAAAAACUACAAAAGAGCUUCUCCUGGUAACAUGAUCUCUUUCCCCAUACUUGGAAGGCGAAAGCAAAGGAGACCCCCCAAAGGCUGUUUUGUCACCCUGACUCCUGCUAACUAGCUGACAGUCUCUGGCACACAUUCAUCGAGGGUGUAGAGGAGAUCGUGGCAGUGCCCUGGAGCCUGAGAAUGGCAGUCCCUGGACUUUACCUAUGACGACGACCAGAGAAAACGAAGAAAACAGAGAAUCCUAAGAAGAGCUCAAUAAAUAGUUAAGGUUUCUAUUCUGGAAAAAUAUCUAACUGAUGGUACAGGGAAUGUUUUUUGGUCUCCCGAAUGGAACAUAUUUGGAUCUGAUGGAGAGGUGCCCCUGACUAGCAGACUACAUAAGCACAACCAAAGCUUCACUCAGAGAGAAAUUCCUAGUCAACGUCACUGUCCUUCCGCUGUGGGGCUGCCUGCAAAAGGGGCAGAUGCCUGUCAUCUGAAAAGACUAAGAAGUCUACUUAGAAAAGGGUUCUUGG